RNAcentral lists this non-coding RNA (25 nucleotides) under Rattus norvegicus (Norway rat). The record is from RNAcentral. Lineage: Eukaryota; Metazoa; Chordata; Mammalia; Rodentia; Muridae.
UGGCUGAAUCAGGAACUUGAGGCGC